CCCCGGUAAACGGCGGCCGUAACUAUAACGGUCCUAAGGUAGCGAAAUUCCUUGUCGGGUAAGUUCCGACCUGCACGAAUGGCGUAAUGAUGGCCACGCUGUCUCCACCCGAGACUCAGUGAAAUUGAAAUCGCUGUGAAGAUGCAGUGUACCCGCGGCUAGACGGAAAGACCCCGUGAACCUUUACUACAGCUUGGCACUGAACAUUGAACCUACAUGUGUAGGAUAGGUGGGAGGCUUUGAAGACGUGACGCCAGUUGCGUUGGAGCCGUCCUUGAAAUACCACCCUUGUAUGUUUGAUGUUCUAACGUUGGCCCCUAAUCGGGGUUGCGGACAGUGCCUGGUGGGUAGUUUGACUGGGGCGGUCUCCUCCCAAAGAGUAACGGAGGAGCACGAAGGUGGGCUAAUCACGGUUGGACAUCGUGAGGUUAGUGCAAUGGCAUAAGCCCGCUUAACUGCGAGAAUGACGGUUCGAGCAGGUGCGAAAGCAGGUCAUAGUGAUCCGGUGGUUCUGAAUGGAAGGGCCAUCGCUCAACGGAUAAAAGGUACUCCGGGGAUAACAGGCUGAUACCGCCCAAGAGUUCAUAUCGACGGCGGUGUUUGGCACCUCGAUGUCGGCUCAUCACAUCCUGGGGCUGAAGUCGGUCCCAAGGGUAUGGCUGUUCGCCAUUUAAAGUGGUACGCGAGCUGGGUUUAGAACGUCGUGAGACAGUUCGGUCCCUAUCUGCCGUGGGCGUUGGAAGAUUGAAGGGGGCUGCUCCUAGUACGAGAGGACCGGAGUGGACGAACCUCUGGUGUUCGGGUUGUGUCGCCAGACGCAUUGCCCGGUAGCUAAGUUCGGAAUCGAUAACCGCUGAAAGCAUCUAAGCGGGAAGCGAGCCCUGAGAUGAGUCUUCCCUGAUACUUUAAGUAUCCUAAAGGGUUGUUCGAGACU
RNAcentral lists this ribosomal RNA (934 nucleotides) under Vibrio vulnificus. Its description in RNAcentral is "partial 23S ribosomal RNA". It matches the Rfam family "Bacterial large subunit ribosomal RNA", at positions 1918 to 2846 of the family's 2925-position model. The record is from RNAcentral. Lineage: Bacteria; Pseudomonadati; Pseudomonadota; Gammaproteobacteria; Vibrionales; Vibrionaceae.